Oncorhynchus kisutch (coho salmon) is the source of this 4238-nucleotide long non-coding RNA. RefSeq lists it as uncharacterized. The transcript has 4 exons. Lineage: Eukaryota; Metazoa; Chordata; Actinopteri; Salmoniformes; Salmonidae. The record is from RefSeq and is a predicted model, not a curated record.
UUGAGAUAUCAGCUGAUGUACGAAGGGCUAUAUAAAUACAUUUGAUUUGAUCAUUAUCUAUGGGUAGGAUACACUUGACUAGCCGCAAAGAAAGGGGGCUAUUGGGGAAACCUACUUGGUGGCUUUCCACACACCCCUCAUAAUUGAUCCUCUGUCUUUAAAGGGGCCAUUUGAUUGCUACAUACAUUUGACUUUUAAUUUCAUGACAUAUGGCCAUGGAUGCAUACAUAGCUCUAUGAAUUCGAGUGGUUACAUUUGUCUAUUCCAAUUCCUCAGCUGUUUCCCGAAACGGUGGCGGGGAAGCCUGCUGUGUUAUUGUUUGAACUGCAGAUUGCCUCUUCAAUCGAGAUUCGGUAAUAGACCGUCGCAAGAACACCACAGACGAGACAACUUUUCCGUCUGCUCUCGUGGAGUCUGAGAUUUUCGUGACCGCUACAGCCUUAGGUCAGUGUCCCCAACUGCACUCAGGAAGAUGACAUUGACCUCACCCUUCACCUAGCAAUGAACUCUGCUCUCCUAUAGAGGAGUGUGAUGACCGUAUGGAUGAUUUUCAUGUCGGUGCUGCUGACAGUAUUGAAGAGACUGGGUGCCAGGUGUCUGUUGGGCUUAAUAGCAGGUCACAAAAACAUUAUUUCCUUUAUUGUAAAAUUUGUCAACCAGAAAAUCAGCACAAAUCAUUCUGUGUGCAUUACUUCAGUGGUGGUAUGUAGCAUAAUAUUGAGUUUGUACAUGCACGCGUUCGUCAUAUUGUGUGCACCAUCAUGGGGUGUAACGUCUCUAGUUUUCUUCAGGUGUCUUUGCUUCGGAUACCCAUCCUUGGUGCCCCGCCAGCCCGCUUCUGCCGCCUCCCCUGUGUGGAAAGAUGUUUCACUGUGGGCCCAAAUAAAGCAUUGAGAUUUGUCUGUCUCUGUAUUGGCCAGAUGUGUGUGUGAUGCUGCUCUCCCUGUGAGUGCUGGCAGUGUCUGCUGUGCCAGGACCUCUGAUCUAGCGUUGCUGCAGGACUACAGUAGGACUGAUAAAGAACUGUGUAUGAGCCCUCCUGACCAAAUGGUGAGCCUUUUUUACUUCGCAGAGCAUGUCUGGGCACGUCUGCUACCUUUCACCUGGAAUAUGUGCAUCUGGGUACAUACGACUGCAUGCCCAGUUCUAUGAACAUGUCUACGCAUGUCUGGUAUUGUUUGCUGUGUCCGCAUCUAGUACUUAUUGACCCUGAUCCUAUUUUAGUGGAGAUGGUCUGUUUUUAGAUCCAGGGAAUAAUUUUUGAAUUGAAAAAGACAACAAAGGUAGAAUCAAAAUGUAAACCAUGUAUUUCUGAUGUGACCGGAUCUUGAUUGGUUAUUUUAACUCACUCAUCCAACCCACAGUUUUUUUUUUGUCUGGCCAUUAAAUCACCAUUGCUUCUGUUAGUUUGCCCACUCCAAGGUGCUUGUUUGUCCAGUGUAGUCUACACCAGUGUUUCUAACUCCAGUUUGCCCAACAGCACACAUUUGUGUUGUUGCCCCAAACAAACUAACCUGAUUCAACUCAUUGAGGGCCUGAUGAUUAGUUGACAAGUUGAAUCGGGUGUGCUUGUCCAGGGCUACAACAAAUAUUUGUGCUGUUUGGGGUACUGGAAGACUGGAGUUGGGAAACACUGGUGUGUGUGAACCAUCGCUUACCCUUUGGGGUCGACCCUACAGAGAUGUGAGCGCCUACUGCUUGUCCUUUCAUGCAAAAAGUACAGCAUUGUCCUCUACAGACCAGGAAAGGUAAUUGACAAGUGCAACUUAACGCAUUUAUGCAUACACAUCCUUAGCAUCCCUCUUUUAGUAUUGCCAUAGAUGGUGUUGGCUAUUAAAAUGUCACACACAAUCACAAGACUUUGAAUAUCGAUGUGAAUUUAAUGUUAAUAAAGAAUGUUGGUGAUGGUGUUCACUGGAAUGUUUAUUGCCAAGUAGGUUGCUGACAAAUGACUGGUCCCUUUAAUGAAGAAUGACUUCAAUUGUGUGUGUCAGAUAUACUGUAUACAAUUGCAGUUUGAUGUUAGUACGUUGUCUUGACUAGAGAAAUAUUGUAUUUUGACUCUCCCUCUCCUUAGCUCUCUUAACAUCGUCCUGAUACGGGGACUGUUGCUGCGGAAGCUGCCCUCACCGCACCCAGUCAGAAUUUGUGUCCGAUGUCUGGCUUCUCCACACACUGUUGAAGAGCGUGAAGUAUUCCAAGUCAGUGGACCGACUUGAGGCAUGUUUCGGGAGGGUGCUGGUCAAAACGCUUGUGGGGAUCCUGCACCCUUCGCUGCUCGUCAACCCCCACCAAGGGGAAGUGGAGAGGAGUGCAGAACAAGAGGGGGACAAGGAGAAAGUGUCCAUGAGGAGAAUCCAAGGCCUCUAGAGGAGAGUUCUUUCACACAGGACUCGAUGAAAGAUGGAGAAUGGCAGCAGAAGGCUGUAUUUGUGUAUUUAAUUUGGUCUUUGAAUUCCUUGGUGAACAUAUUUGUACAUAGUUGCAGCCAAAUAUUGUCACCCUUGCACCUUUUUUUCCUUUAAAAAAAAAUAUUUAUUCUAAAAUAACUAGAAAUUUGGAAAAACCUUUGGAAUCUACACCUUACUGUAUUUUCAACUUUACAGACCCAAUUUACCCAAUUGGUAAAUUUAAGUUUACAAUUUGGCAUGUACAAAAUGAUUGGCAAGUACUUGGUUGCAUAGCCUUUGGCCAAGAACUACAGACAAAUGCUUCUUGUAGGCAUCAGUAAGCUGGCUGCAUCUUAUUACUGGUGAUUUUACUCAGCCUUCAGAAGCAAACUGCUCUAAUUCUUUAAUGUUUGAGGGGUGCCCUCCACCAACUGCUGUUGUCAACUCUCGCCAUAGGUUAUGGAUGUGGCAACUGCUCGGCCUCGUUCCUGCCAUCCAGGACCUCCUAUACCAGGCGGUGUCAGAGGAGGCCCUAAAAAUUGACAGACUCCAGCCACCCUAGUCAUAGACUGUUCUCUCUGCUACCGCACGGCAAGCUGUGCCAAGUCUAGGUCCAAAGGUCUUAACAGCUUUUACCCCCAAGCCAUAACUCCUGAACAGCUAAUCAAAUGGCUACCCAGACUAUUUUCAUUGCCCCCUCUCCCGCACCUCUUUUAUGCUGCUGCUACUCUGUGUAUUAUCUAUACAUAGUCACUUUAACUCUACCUACAUGUACAUAUUACCUCAAUUACUUCUACUAACCGGUACCUACUCACAUUGUCUCUGUACCAGUACCCCCUGUAUAUAGCCUCGCUAUUUGUUAUUUUACUGCUGCUCUUUAAUCAUUUGUUACUUUUAUAUAAUUUGGUUGUGUAUGUAUAUAUUUUUUUUAACUUAACACUUAUUUUUCUUACAAGCUCUUAACCAACAAUGCAGUUAAGUAAGCAUUUCACUGUAAGGUCAACACCUGUUGUAUUCGGCGCAUGUGACAAAUACAAUUUGAUUUGAUUCAGAUCUGGCCACUCCAGAACAGUCCAGCGUUUUCUUCUUGAACCAUUCCAGGGUGCCUUUGAUAUUUGUUUGGGGUUGUUGUCCUGCUGAAAUUACCAUCAACCUUCCAACCAAGACCAAGUGUUUGGACACUGGGUUGAACAUUGCACUCCAAAACACCUUAAUAAUCUGCUGUUUUGCUUAUGUACAAGGCCCCAAGCACCAAAGGCAGCAAAGCAACCCCACAGCAUUAUCAAACCUUCCCUAUGUGUGUAGUUAUUUUCUUAAUUUGGUUGUUGGUUACCAUAGGAAGCCCCCACUCCCCGAAGAAGGCUCAAGAAAGCCUGAUUGAAUGCUGGACUGUAGUGGAGUGGCCAGCCAAUAUUCCAGAUCUACAUCCCAUCCAAAACCUAUGGUAAGAGCUGAAAAUAGCAGUUGGAAAAAUAAGAGCAGUUUGCUGUGAAGUGGGACAAAUUUGCCAGUAGGAAGGUGCAGCAAGCUCAUUGAUGGUACAAGAAGUGUUUGUCUGCAGUUGGCCAAAGGCUAAUUUUGUCUGCCAAUUGUUUUUCUUUUCUAAAUUAGUAGUUUGCAAAAAUACAAUGGGUUCUAGAAUGUUGCAAAUCCAAGGUCUGGAGACAAAGUUCUAAAUUUCAAACUAUUUUUGAAGAAAUGGGGAAUUAAUUGAGAAGUGCAAGGGUGCCAACUAGUUUGUUACAAAGUUUAUCCCUCGUGUAAAAAUCAACAAUGUUGCACAUGGUUUGACUUUUGGGAUUUAAUUCACCUUUUGUCUAUUUACAAUAAAUACUUCUGUGCAUCUUA